This 334-nucleotide long non-coding RNA is filed under the name Danio rerio (zebrafish). Its description in RNAcentral is "lncRNA si:dkey-219e24.7 (ENSDARG00000098068.2)". Lineage: Eukaryota; Metazoa; Chordata; Actinopteri; Cypriniformes; Danionidae. The record is from RNAcentral.
UUUUUUUUUAUUUAUUUAUUUUAUUUUUUGUUUUUAUAUAUAUAUUUUAUUAUUAUUUUAUUUUCUACUGCUGUACCCUUUGAGUAUUUGUAUUUAUUUAUUCUCGGCACUGUUGUUGUUGUUGUUGUUGUUGUUUUUUUUUCUGUUUUUUUUUUUUUGUUUUUUUUCCCUUAAUGCAUGAAUAUGUAACUAUAUUUUAUUCAGAGAGAAAGAAAACGUGAGCAAAAUUGUAUUCUACCACCACAUUGGAUCAGUUGAUGUCUAAUGAUUCUGUGUAUCUGAUGCUGUGGCUCUCUGACUAACAUAUUUCAAUAAAAACAGAGUUAAACUAAAA